This 496-nucleotide ribosomal RNA is filed under the name uncultured bacterium. RNAcentral describes it as "partial 16S ribosomal RNA". It matches the Rfam family "Bacterial small subunit ribosomal RNA", at positions 29 to 507 of the family's 1533-position model. The record is from RNAcentral.
AUGAACGCUGGCGGCGUGCCUAAUACAUGCAAGUCGAGCGAACGGACGAGAAGCUUGCUUCUCUGAUGUUAGCGGCGGACGGGUGAGUAACACGUGGAUAACCUACCUAUAAGACUGGGAUGACUUCGGGAAACCGGAGCUAAUACCGGAUGAUAUUUUGAACCGCAUGGUUCAAAAGUGAAAGACGGUCUUGCUGUCACUUAUAGAUGGAUCCGCGCUGCAUUAGCUAGUUGGUAAGGUAACGGCUUACCAAGGCAACGAUGCAUAGCCGACCUGAGAGGGUGAUCGGCCACACUGGAACUGAGACACGGUCCAGACUCCUACGGGAGGCAGCAGUAGGGAAUCUUCCGCAAUGGGCGAAAGCCUGACGGAGCAACGCCGCGUGAGUGAUGAAGGUCUUCGGAUCGUAAAACUCUGUUAUUAGGGAAGAACAUAUGUGUAAGUAACUGUGCACAUCUUGACGGUACCUAAUCAGAAAGCCACGGCUAACUACGUG